Olea europaea var. sylvestris is the source of this 1266-nucleotide RNA transcript. RefSeq lists it as uncharacterized. NCBI's taxonomy places the organism in Eukaryota, Viridiplantae, Streptophyta, Magnoliopsida, Lamiales, Oleaceae. The transcript has 4 exons. The record is from RefSeq and is a predicted model, not a curated record.
CCUAAAUGCCCAUUCUCUUUUCCCCAUCGACUUCGCCUCUCCACAAUUUCCCUUGGCGCUUCAGUUCUCACUCUCUCUCUCCACUUUCCACGGCCGACCACAGGCGCCUUAGCUCACUCUCGUCUCUCUUUGACUUCCACCGUCAACCGACGGCGCCUCAGACUUCACUAUUGUCUCUCUCUGCCUUCCACCGGCAUGCUCACUCUCAUCGCUCGCCUCCCAGGACACAAAUCAUUAAAAAAACUGGAGAGAAAUGCAUCUGAGGGAAAAACUAAGUAUGUUUUUCAAUUUUGUGUUUAUUUAAAAAUUUAAACAUGGGUUGUUGUUGAAUUUUAUUGUUUAAAGAUUUAUUUUGGAUGUUGGCACUGCCGCACUGAGAACAAUUGAACAAUGGUGUGUAGAUGGUUGGCGAGGGUAAUAAAGUCAUUUGCAAUUGCGUAGAUGGAGGCCAGGAAGUUCAGUACCCAAAAACUGAGACCAAAGCUUUACUAAUGGGCAUUUUGGUUGAAGCACAUAGAAUCCAUAAUUAGAACUUGAAUACCAAAUAUCGCAUCAUUAAUUAACAAAAGCAUUGGUGUACGUGAAUCUGAGAUGGAUCACCUUGGAAAGCCUAUUGUCGUUGAUGUAGAGUGGGCUGAAGUUUUGUUUGCUGAUGCUUUCUUAGCUUUUGAGGAUGCUGAUUUAACUGAUGACAAGGUAUGGAUGCUUGUAGUUGUUAAAGAUCUUAUUUUACGCUAAGCUUAGGUACAAUAAGCAAUUUUCCUAUUGAUUCUGAAUACAAAAUUACGUCGUACCUAGAUAUUAACAAAAUUUCUGUUAGGAUCUUCCUCAAGCUGCUCAAAGUAAUUUCCGGGCUCAGUUAACCAUUAAACAUCGAAUUCAAACACCAAACCGAGAGAUGACCGACCGCCGGACUGCUCACUUCCUAUGGUUGUUUUUCUCUUUUGCUUGUUGAUUCUACCACACACUUAGGAUGGAUACCACACAGGUAAGAGUCACAAAGCCUCAAGCAAUUGGUAGGGAAGAUAAAUCACGAAGAAGAAGGCAGCAGUUCUCUUUCUCUCUCGGGUUCUUUCAAACGGGACAAAGGAGAAGGAGUUUAACUACCAAUAUAUAUAUUAGUUCAAUGGCCAACUUAAGGUAAGUCACAAUUUGGUAAGUAGGCUUGACUAGGGUUAAGUCCCAAUAGAAAAACAACAAGUCACAAAGAUUAUUAGCCAUCCAAUAGGUAAAGCAACCCUAGGUCGGUUCAUCCAUUAUUCGGUG